UACGGAGGGGGCUAGCGUUGUUCGGAAUUACUGGGCGUAAAGCGCACGUAGGCGGUUAUGCAAGUUGGGCGUGAAAGCCCGGGGCUCAACCCCGGAACUGCGCCCAAGACUGCGCGACUGGAGUACGGGAGAGGGUGGUGGAAUUCCCAGUGUAGAGGUGAAAUUCGUAGAUAUUGGGAAGAACACCAGUGGCGAAGGCGGCCACCUGGCCCGUGACUGACGCUGAGGUGCGAAAGCGUGGGGAGCAAACAGG
This 253-nucleotide unclassified non-coding RNA is filed under the name uncultured Alphaproteobacteria bacterium. RNAcentral's name for it is "contains 16S-23S intergenic spacer region". It matches the Rfam family "Bacterial small subunit ribosomal RNA", at positions 524 to 776 of the family's 1533-position model. The record is from RNAcentral. Lineage: Bacteria; Pseudomonadati; Pseudomonadota; Alphaproteobacteria.